This 199-nucleotide unclassified non-coding RNA is filed under the name uncultured Basidiomycota. Its description in RNAcentral is "sequence contains ITS2". Lineage: Eukaryota; Fungi; Basidiomycota. The record is from RNAcentral.
AAUUAUCAACCGCGAAAGGCUUUUUCUGGUCUUUCGGGGCUUGGAGUUGGAGGCUUGCCGGCGUGAGUCGGCUCCUCUUAAAUGUAUCAGCGAAAAUACAAACCUUUUGUUGGCUUCGGUGUGAUAAUCACGUUGCGCCGUCGCUUGAAGGUGUUAAAGUGUUUCGCUUAUAAUGGUCUUCGGACAAACAAACCAUUGA